AAUAGAUACCCAGGUAGUCCACGCCGUAAACGGUGGGCACUAGGUGUGGGCGACAUUCCACGUCGUCCGUGCCGCAGCUAACGCAUUAAGUGCCCCGCCUGGGGAGUACGGCCGCAAGGCUAAAACUCAAAGGAAUUGGCGGGGGCCCGCACAAGCGGCGGAGCAUGUGGCUUAAUUCGACGCAACGCGAAGAACCUUACCAAGGCUUGACAUACACGGAAACGUCCAGAGAUGGGCGCCCCCUUGUGGUCGGUGUACAGGUGGUGCAUGGCUGUCGUCAGCUCGUGUCGUGAGAUGUUGGGUUAAGUCCCGCAACGAGCGCAACCCUUGUCCCGUGUUGCCAGCAGGCCCUUGUGGUGCUGGGGACUCACGGGAGACCGCCGGGGUCAACUCGGAGGAAGGUGGGGACGACGUCAAGUCAUCAUGCCCCUUAUGUCUUGGGCUGCACACGUGCUACAUGGCCGGUACAAUGAGCUGCGAUACCGCGAGGUGAGCGAAUCUCAGAAAGCCGGUNUCAGUUCGGAUUGGGGU
This 531-nucleotide ribosomal RNA is filed under the name uncultured bacterium. Its description in RNAcentral is "bacterial SSU rRNA". It matches the Rfam family "Bacterial small subunit ribosomal RNA", at positions 777 to 1304 of the family's 1533-position model. The record is from RNAcentral.